Chelonoidis abingdonii (Abingdon island giant tortoise) is the source of this 2275-nucleotide long non-coding RNA. RefSeq lists it as uncharacterized. The record is from RefSeq and is a predicted model, not a curated record. Lineage: Eukaryota; Metazoa; Chordata; Testudines; Testudinidae.
GCAAGCUCAACCAAUGAGGCGGCUUCUAACUGCUUCGGCGUCUCUGUCUCCAGGAGCGGAGGGAAGCCUGGUGUCUCAGGGCAGCGGUGAGCGCCGGGGCGUGCGCCAGUUCAAACUGUAGCCACCUUGGUGCUUGUGUCCUGUCUGCUGUGCCAGGGCAGGGCUAGGGACAUCGAACCGGCCUCCUUUUCAAGCUGUGACUGACAUCUGGUUCAGAGCUGAGAAUUUUCAGGCUUCAAUUCAGUGAAAAGCAUGGAUCCUUGGCUCAGGACUGGGACAUUAGCAAAAUGUGGAACACACAGGGAUCAGCAGGAGCCCAGCGCAACCUCCCUUUCAGCUGAUUCAACUACUACUGUUGGCUGUAGCAGUGCCAAUGCAGAGGAGGCAGUGCAUGAUUUACAAGUUCAGCCUGGGACGGGUGUGACAGAGCAGGACACAGAAAGGGUGUCAAAAAAAUGCAAGUAUGAUAAAAGCUACAUUGAACUUGAAUUUACAUGGACUGGGGACGCUGAAUAUCCUCAGCCACAGUGUGUCUUAUGUGGUGAAGUUUUACCAAACAACAGUCUUAAACCUUCCCUUCUUUGCCAGCAUCUAGAGACUAAAUACAAUCAAUUUAAAGACAAACUGGCUCAGUUUUUCAAUCGCAAAUGGGAAGAGCUAAAAAGCAGUAAAAAAUUCUGCCAUCAAAUUGCAUGGAAAAUGUAAAUACACUUCGAGCUUCAGACUUCAUGAGUUAGAAUGGCCAAAAUAGGAGAACCAUACACUAUUACAGAAGAUUUCCUUAUACCUGCUGUGAAGGUCGUGGUGAAGUGCGUGCUUGGUGAAAAAGCAGGAAAAAAAACUUGAUUCCAUAUCACUCUCCCAUGACACUGCGUCGCCGAUAUGGCUGAAAAUGUUCAUUAGAAACAGUGACUAAUAUUCUUCGCAAUUAGACAAGUCCACGGAUUUAGACAGCCUAGCUAAGCUUUUGGUUUAUGUUAGUUAUAUGUAUGAAAAUACCAUACAUGAAGACUUUCUCUUUGUCAUUCCCUGCCUACCCAAACAACAGGAGAAGAGAUUUUUUUUGCUGCUUGAUAACUUCAUGACUGAGAAUAGAAUUGACUGGUCUCGCUGUGUAGGGAUUUCUACUGAUGGGGCAAAAUCGAUGAUGGGAAAGCACAGUGGAGUUGUGGUUUGCAUCAAGGCCAUAGCAACAGAAGCCAUAUGGGUGUACUGCAGCAUCGAUAGAGAGGCCCCAGCUUUCCUAAAAAUGCUGGAAAACUUAAUGUCAGUGUUGUCUGAUGCUGUCAAAAUAGUUAACUUCAUUAAGGGUCAGUGUCUAAAUUCAAGAAUUUUUGCUACCUUGUGUGAUGAAAUGGGAAAUGACCAUUUGCCACUACUAUUGCAUACUGAGGUUCACUGGCUGUCGUUUGGCAAAGUGCUGACACAACUCUUUGAGCUGCACAGCGAGCUUUAAGUUUUUUUCACUGACCACCUCCCCUUUGCACUGGUCAUCUUGCUUGGAUGAAUACUGCCUGGCUUCAGCGAUUAGCCUACUUGGCAGACAUUUUUUCUUGCCUCAACGAGCUCAGUUUAGGCCUUCAGGGCUUAAACACCAAUAUUUUUGAAACACAAGACAAAAUCGAAUCCAUGAUAAAGAAACUACUAUUUUGGGAUAGCUGCUUAAAGAAAAAUAUCAUUAACUGCUUUCCAACAUUGCAAUUGUUUCUUGCAACAAAUGACAAUAUGCUGUUACAUGAGAGUGUGAAAGCUGACAUUAUGGAGCAUUUGCAACAACUUAGCAAACAACUUAGAAAAUAUUUCCCCAAAAUGGACAAUGCAUAUUCCUGGAUACGCAAUCCAUUUAAGGUGCCUCAGUCUCUCCCAAUCCCUCCUCUGCCAGUGCAUGAGCAGGAGAAAUUGUUAGAUCUCUCUUGUGACAGUGGUCUUAAAUUAGAGUUUGAAUGCAAACUUUGGCAGACUUCUGGAUGCAAAGGAUGGAAGAUUACCCAUGCAUGUCAUAACAAGCUGUCAAGGUUCUGAUGCCCUUCUCCACAACAUACCUUUGUGAGACUGGAUUCUCUGCCCUCAUGGCGAUUGAGACAGAGUACCCUCAGAAAUUAAAUGCUGAAAAUGACUUGUGACUGAAGCUCUCUCCAAUUUUCCCUGCCAUCAGUGAUUUGUGUGAUAAAAAGCAAGGACGUCCAUCACACCAAUAGCUUCAUAGCGACUGGAUGCCAUGACUAGAAUCCCCUUGUGCCAGUUUCCCGGCGUUAUGGAGUCUUACCCUUUGAAG